CCCUUAGAUGUUCUGGGCCGCACACGCGCUACACUGGCAGGUUCAUCGUGCUUCAUGCCCUGAUCUGAGAAGAACGGGAAAUCUUUGAACACCUGCCGUGCUUGGGAUAGAUGUUUGCAAUUAUUCAUCUUCAACGAGGAUUGCCUUGUAAGCGCACGUCAUCAGCGUGCAUUGAAUACGACCCUGUAUUCUGUACACACCGCCCGUCGCUCCUACCGAUUGAAGUUUUCGGUGAAUUUACUGGAGAUCCCUUUUGAAGGUGGUUCGCCACUGGAAGAAGUAUUCAAAAGUAAAUGAAUCGAAUGCUUUAGAGGAAGGAGAAGUCGUAACA
This 331-nucleotide ribosomal RNA is filed under the name uncultured eukaryote. RNAcentral's name for it is "partial 18S ribosomal RNA". It matches the Rfam family "Eukaryotic small subunit ribosomal RNA", at positions 1470 to 1796 of the family's 1831-position model. The record is from RNAcentral.